AUAUAUUUUUUCACCUGCAAAAAAAAAAAACAGCGGUCCGUGCAUUUUUCUCGUUUUUUGGCAGGGUUAGAAUUCACGCAAGUGCAAGAUAUCUAGAUGGAUGUCAUGCCAGGGUCUCUGUUUUCCUUAGCAGAAAAUAGAUUGUUUCGUGUACAAUGUGCCCCGCGAAACAAAUGGAGCAUGCAUAAAUAUUUCCGUGCACUGAGCGUUCUCGUAUCUAUGGGACAUCCACCGUACCCAAGCGACUGCCUGUUUUCUGCUAAUUUUUGGCUCUGUGCUGCAUAAGAAUGGUGACGGUGCAGCCCAUCAUGGUUCCUUGGUGCUUUGUGUGCGUUCUUGUUUUUUGCUUCCUAGUUGUAUUCCCAACUUUUGCCCAUUUGCCCCCAAAGAAAUUUGAGGCUUCCCCCCUGAAUCCUGUAACAAUAAUCACCAAAAAAAAAACCAAACAGGGUUAUGCAUUUGACAAGUUCAUCUCUUGUGAAUCUCUACUUAGUUGCACGUUUCACUACAAUGGUAACGAACCACCAAAACUGUCGCAUGUCGGUGCUAUUUGGAAUGGAAAAUCAGAAUUUCUUGCACAUCAAUUUUACUUUGGUCAGGAAUCUAAACUAUACCCCUAAUAGCAUCAGGUUCGCUUGGAUUCUUAUGUUGCCGCGUUGCUGAAUGACACUUUGAUGAGAACCCUCUGGACAGUAUGACACUUUGAUGAGAACACCGCAGAGGGAAAGUGUCAUUUCACUUCCUUUUAUCUGGUGUAUCUUUCGCGGAAAAUCUUUUCUUCUCUUCUUUAUAGUAUGAAUGAAACAUAGGCAGAGCUCCUACCAAAAUUGCUUUUGGCUCCGGAGCUCUAGUGAUCCCGGCACGACAAAAUCCAUCUUGUGUAUCGGAUGGUUCCUACAGUUUAUUUUUGGAGGAUUCAAAAUACAUUUUGGAGAGACGGGGGUGAGCCAAAGUUCAAAAUGUUUUGAGAGAAAAAUCCAAUCGUAAUUUUUUAGAAAAUAAAAUUCAGGUAUAAUUUUUUAGAAUCAAAAUCCAAGCCUAAAAUCCUAUGAGGGAAAAAAAAUCCAAGUCUUCUUCCUAAUCUUAAAAAUCCCGACCUAAUUUUUUAGUACACCCUCUGUUCCCUAAUACAGGACAUUUUGCCAGUUUAAAUUGAACUGCCAAAACGUCCUACAUUACUGAAUAGAUAGAAGAUUAUGCUGUGAAUACAUAAAAAAUAGAUAAAAGUUCACCAGAUAAAAGAAAGUGAAAUAAAUCUGGACUGUAUAGAUCCUAGGUAAAACUGAAAACUACAUCCACGUCAUUCGAAGUCGUAGUCUCAAUCUUCGUUCUUUCUUGUUUGCAUGUCAGCAUUCGAUGAUGGUUCUAGGGAAGAAAGUAGAAAAACCAGAAGCUUUCAACCCAGAAGAAAAUAAAAAUCACUUGUCACCCUUUAAUUUUUGGGACACAGCCCAUUUUCGUGUGGACCGCAACACCCCAUGAGGCCACGACCCUCUUUGGCGAGGGAGAGAGGGGUUCCCAUCUCAAGAAAAGAAUGUCUAAAAAAAAAUCUCAAGAAAAAAAAAACCACUCAAAAAAAUAUCUCAAGAAAAAAAAAACACUCAAAAAAAUAUCUCAAGAGAAAAUGUCUCUCUCCCUCCCCCCUCUUACCCUGGUUCUCAUGUAUACUUUGGCCAUCUCCAUCUUGCAAAUCGUUGCUAUUUCGGUAGUCUUGAUUGAUAGAUUCGAAACACGUUGUUGCUACGGUAAUCUUGAUUGAUAGAUUAGAUUCCCACUUGCUUUUUUGUUGUAAGAGAUUUGGAUGCACUACCAAGUCAUAGAACCCUAGACUGUGAAAUUAAACUGAGCCCACGAUCUGCAAAUGGGAAAGGGGAUUCAGGUUACCCACCUCAAAGAACCCUAGCAUUUCUAUGUAGUACUGUAUCUGUUUGUUGGGCAUUUCACAUUUGUUACUAACAGAGGCUCCUGUUUCCUUUGGGGCUUUUGGUUUCAUCUGCUUUAUUUACGUCUGAUUGGAGUAAUUACUGAUGUUUUCAAAGCAGGAGACUGGUUUACACUGUCCCUAGGGAUCCAACCCCUUGCUGUAUACUGUGUCACUACUGUCUUCUAUGUUUUUAUCCUAGCGCAUAUUUGUUAUCUGUGCACAUGACAAGAAUCUCAGGAAACACACAUUCCCUAGCCAUUGUAUGUUGGCACUUUGUGUUGCUUCUUUGUUCGGAACUUUUUUAAAUAUCCAGACAUCCAGUUCAUACUUCUAAUAUUUUUUCCUUUGAUUCAUAAUUUGUUUCAGAGAAGCUGCGAUCACCUGUAACACCGAGGCCUGCUGUGUUUGCUUCUACCGUCUCAGCUAUGUCCGGGCUUCAAGGUUGGGCAGACCUCCCAGAUGGCCUGCUUCACUCCAUUGUUUGUCGGUUGGGAUCCUUCCCUGAUCUUCUUGCUUUCGCUGCCACCUGCCCCUCUUGGCGUGUUUCCUUAUUCUCCUAUCCCUCCAAAUCGACAUUGUUGCCACCUCUCCUCCUCCAACCUGAUAUCCCUGUUUGCUCUUCUCGUCCUUGCCCAUUGAGCAACAGCCUCGUACCCAAACACUCAUGCUAUGUUACUGAUCUUGCCAACAAAGACACCUAUAUGUGCUAUCAGGUUCCCCAAUUUGCUUGUUUUGUUGACAGAAAAUCCCCACCGGGUUUACUGGAUAAUUUUUCUUUGGGAAGUGUUUCCUAUGGCCAUCUCAUAUUGGCCAACCAACAACAAUCAUGUCUUCUUGUUGAUGUCUUCACAGGUGUUAGUGUCUCAGCUCCGCAGCUACCGGUUGGUGGAUAUAUUCUCCUAUACUAUGCUGCCCUCACGGCUCCUCUUUCGUCACGCAACUCACAUCUACCGGUUGUGACCAUAGCAGCUUCUGUGGCAGUGAGCAUGUAUGAGUUUGUAAGGUAUCCCGACUUUAUGUAGCUUUGAUGUGGUCUAUCAAGUUUUGAACCUUUGCUUUGUAGGUCAUGUUGGAGUGUAAGGAUGUCGUGGUCGAUUUCUACCCUUUUCGUAUGGCUUGCAUGAAAUUGUUGUUUAUGUUCAAGCUAACUCUACUAGCUUAUUCUGAAAAAUUGCUGUUCCAGCAGAGAACAGAACAGUCACUCCUUUGCAGUUAGAUUAGGAGAUGUUUACGGUGGCAAGAGCCUGAAGUUUUUGCAGUUAGUUCCAUCCUUGGGUGUUUAACUACUUAUUGACAGAUAUUCAGAUCUUAGUAAGAGAUGUGUCUCUGUUAUCAGUUUUAUGUGCUGUUUAACUGCUUACUGAAUCUUCUUCUUCUGUUGCUGAAACUGACAAUUUUCAUGUGUAGUUUUGCCUUAGGCUGCAUGGUGUGGCCUUGUGAAUUUAUCAUGUGUGAGCAAGGGAUUCUUCUUCAGGUGCAUGGUUUUGUUUCAGGUUGCAUGCCCUGAAAUGACUAAAUGAAUACAUGAACUGAAAAAUGCACCUGGGUUGGUUUGUUGUAUGGUUGCUGGCCUAGAAACAUGAAGAAGACAUGUGUUGCAUGAACCGUAUUCUUAUGUUGAUUAGCAUGCGUGCACUUUCUCUUGAGUUGAGUAGUACUUGCACUCCCAUUUGUACUCCCCACCUUGCCUAGCUUGGAAACCACCCACAUCGCAUAUUGUAGUGAGCUCAGGCAGAUCUUCCUGGAGGGCGGCACAUACGAAAGAGAACUUGCUACCAACAUAGAAUUCCGAAGCAUCAUCAGGAAGAUUCAAGAUGUCGGCGCUGAUACUGGAGAGCAUCAAGCUCAGGGGCUGCUGGAGUCUUGAGACAGUUACUGGCCAGCAAAGCUAGUCGUGCACACGAUAAGCCACCAGUAGUUGUCGACUGCUAGAAAGAUUGGUGGGACAUGCUUCAGUGGGAUGGGCUGGAGGAAAGAUGCCGCCUCUUAGCCCGAGGCAUUCUCAUUACUACAAGAAGACAAUUCCGAGAGGAUCGCUUCUAAGGUGACUCUAAAAUGCAUGGAUAUUACAUCGAUCUGUGGAUGCUACCCGCUAGCUUGGGCAUUGUGGAGAUGUUCAAUUAUUUACUUAUAGUGGCAUAGAUGUCUCCAAUAAAUUGGUAGUGCUGCUUGUGCGAGUGCCCAUGCACCGGAUUACAGCUCGACUAAUUGUCGUGAUUGUGCGUUUGCCUGAGCUGAUUGUGUAUGUUUGACUUGGCUUGAGAUUGCUAUUUUUUUAAAAAAAUAAUGUGGUCUGAGUGUAUUGUAUACACGAGAAGAACCUACUAGUGUUGUCUGGUGUGAGAACAAGGACCUGUUAUGUUUAUGUACGGA
Aegilops tauschii subsp. strangulata is the source of this 4297-nucleotide long non-coding RNA. RefSeq lists it as uncharacterized. Lineage: Eukaryota; Viridiplantae; Streptophyta; Magnoliopsida; Poales; Poaceae. The record is from RefSeq and is a predicted model, not a curated record.